AGAGUUUGAUCCUGGCUCAGAAUCAACGCUGGCGGCGUGCCUAACACAUGCAAGUCGAACGCGAAAGCCCUUUCGGGGGUAAGUAGAGUGGCGUCCGGGUGAGUAACACGUAGGUAAUCUACCUCUGGGUGGGGAAUAACGUCUCGAAAGAGACGCUAAUACCGCAUAAUGCAGCGGCACCUUAUGGUGAAUAGUUGUUAAAGCGGGGGAUCGCAAGACCUCGCGCCUAGAGAGGAGCCUGCGGCAGAUUAGCUUGUUGGUGAGGUAAUGGCUCACCAAGGCUGCGAUCUGUAGCUGGCCUGAGAGGACGGCCAGCCACACUGGCACUGACACACGGGCCAGACUCCUACGGGAGGCAGCAGUGGGGAAUUUUGGGCAAUGGGCGCAAGCCUGACCCAGCAACGCCGCGUGAAGGAGGAAAUCCUUCGGGAUGUAAACUUCACAAGCAAGGGAAGAAUGCCUCAGGGUGAAUACCCCUGAGGAGGGACGUACCUUGC
Molecule: ribosomal RNA, 497 nt
Filed under: uncultured bacterium
Lineage: Bacteria
Description: bacterial SSU rRNA
Rfam family: Bacterial small subunit ribosomal RNA
Source: RNAcentral